UGCGCUGAAACCAAACAAGAUGGCAUCAACAAGGUCACGAAAUAACACGUAAUAAAUCUAGAAAGAGGAAGCUUGCGUUCUUGCAGAUGGCAGCGAUGCGAGGGCAAAGUACUGCAGAUAUAAGAUAACAGGAGAGAGCCAAUCAGGUUGCGAGUUUGGAGAUGGUCAAAUAACCUAGUACAUGCCACUGUCCCAGCAGUUAUCCAAAAUACUUUAUGACGAAGUGUGCAUUCUUACAGGUAGUGGAGAUCAGGGACAGACUACUACAGAUAUAAGAUAUAAUGCCAGGAGUGAACCAAUCAGGUUACAAGUUUGGUCAAAUAACCUAGUACUGUACAUGCCACUGUCCCAGCAGUUAUCCAAAAUACUACAUGACCAAGGACAAUACGGUAUAUAUUGUUUAUUCAUCGUUACCUCGGUAUAGACAUCCAGAUGUAGCUCUCCCAUCCCUGAUAUAAUAGUCUAAGGAAACAAACAAAACAAAACAAAAACAUUAGCAAUGAAGGAAAUAUGCUAGAAAAUAGAAAAUUUAGUGUCAAAUUCGACAUAUUGAAAGGUUUGAACAAAAUAGGCCUUUUACGUUACACAGUCGCUUGCUGAUAAAUCACCUUAAUAAUGAAGAAACACAAGGCUGUGCUGGAUGACAAACCGACCUCAAAAUGCUUGGCUAGUAUGUUACAAGCAAGAGAAAUAACCGGCUCAGGUACGAACAUUGGUUCCUAAAAUAAAUCAAUACAUGGAUGAGUUUAGAUCUGAGCAUUGUGGAUGCAACAAUUUUUGGAUUAUUCUAUUCGUACUGAUUUAUUUGAAAAUAACCAGGAGCAUACUUCCAGACAUCGAGUGCUGAACCGUCGUAUGGUAACGCAAAGCAUUUACAGCUAUGCUGGAGAUUUCGAGAUAAAUUACUUGAAUCUUUCCAAUAUGUUAUACUGUGUAGACUAUCUGCCGCUAAACAAAGAAACAAUAGUCUAGGGAAUGACACGUGGUCCAUUAACUAACUGGAAAACCUUACUCAUCCCUGGGGUCUGCGGGAUGCAAAUGGCUCACUGCCUUAGUUCUUGGUAUCAAGUUCACAAUGUAACGCUCAAAACAUGAUGGUAAAAACGAUCUACGCCAGGAUUGCUAAAGAUGAGAGACCUAAAACCACAGGGACAGCAAAGAUGACCCCUGCUAAGAGCCAGGGGGGAAAUGUGAGCACACACAAAGUUUCGUCAUGCAAUGCUCACUCCCCUUAGGUAACGUCCCGGGGAGCGAGCAUUACAUGUGGACACCAAGUGUCUUAUAGUGGAUGCUUAGAGACUAGGAGCUGUAGAGCACUCAAGAAGUCAAAGUAACACUCCAUGUAUUAAUGUUUGCUGUCCUCUGAUAUAAACAUGGUUAUAAAGCAUUCUUACCAAUGAGGGCGCACGUAGCAGGUACAUACCUCAAGUUU
Molecule: long non-coding RNA, 1432 nt
Organism: Actinia tenebrosa (Australian red waratah sea anemone)
Lineage: Eukaryota; Metazoa; Cnidaria; Anthozoa; Actiniaria; Actiniidae
Source: RefSeq, a predicted model, not a curated record